Molecule: long non-coding RNA, 1043 nt
Organism: Drosophila simulans
Lineage: Eukaryota; Metazoa; Arthropoda; Insecta; Diptera; Drosophilidae
Exons: 3
Source: RefSeq, a predicted model, not a curated record
UUCAUUAGUACUUUUUAACACUUUACUAAGCCAACGUACGCUUUUAUUAUUUGUAACACAUUUGUAUAUUUACAUAACCGCUUACAUAGAUUUCGACGCGACGUGAGGGUUGGAAUUAUGGCCAAAAUCGGUGGAGAGGGCAUCUGGUUGUGUCUGGCCAAAUCGAGCCGGGCGGGCUGUGUCAUAUCCAUAUUUAAGCACGCCAGCUAAGCGUGUGACAGUCAGUCAGAGUCUCGAGAUACGAAACACUCAAGGUGAUAUGAACCUUUUGCCGCUGCCAGCGAAAAGGUUGACAACGCGUCAUUAUCCUGUAUGUCAGACAUUUUGGCUGCGACUUCAAAAGCCAACCGAAGAGCAAAGGCGAGGGCCCACAUCUAGGAGGUCUUGGAUCGAGCACAGACAGAGAAAAUAUGUUCUUGUCGAGUCAUAAAAAAAGGACCCAACUAAACUGGUACAACAAGCACUUAAUUAAAGCAAUUACACAACGUUCCAAGGAAAUCAAGCAACUACUAAGCACAAGCCACGGAAAUUACUAUUAAUUUCACAGCAAGUGGGUUUCAAUGCCAACGGAUGAAAUUCCAAUUGUUUGGCUCCCUCCCCCCUUUUUUCGGGAUCGGCUUUUGAGCUGAGGUUUCUGAUGGAGAUGGAGAUGGAGACGGGCGGUUGGAGUCGCAAAAACCAGGAGAUGGUAGCUUGGAGCCCGGCCCUCGUUUCAUAUUUUUGCGCUCUCGGGGCAGAGCUAAGCUAACCCAAUUGCAAUAUUAAAAGCAUGCCUGCCGCAGAAAGUUUCCCCAAACGGGCGACAGUCUGUGGCAAGCAGAAAAGCGUGACGCUGCCAGAGGAACGUCGACGUUUUGCGGCUUUGCUGCGGCCGCUAAGCUGGCUGCCAAAAAAGCCGGAGUCGCAUCCACGGACGGAGUCGUUGCAGGAUGAAAAGUGGAGUGGGGCAUAAAGGGAGGAGGGGGUGGUAAGGGGGCACGCUCGUGGCAGCGACACGUUCAAGGACACCGAUGCCGCAGGAUUUUACAAUGUGUGACGCGUCU